Molecule: ribosomal RNA, 913 nt
Filed under: Pantoea agglomerans
Lineage: Bacteria; Pseudomonadati; Pseudomonadota; Gammaproteobacteria; Enterobacterales; Erwiniaceae
Description: bacterial LSU rRNA
Rfam family: Bacterial large subunit ribosomal RNA
Source: RNAcentral
AGCGACUAAGCGUACACGGUGGAUGCCCAGGCAGUCAGAGGCGAUGAAGGACGUGCUAAUCUGCGUAAAGCGACGGUAAGGUGAUAUGAACCGCUACAGCCGUCGAUGUCCGAAUGGGGAAACCCGGUGCACUCUGUGCAUCAUUGCAGCAUGAAUACAUAGUGCUGCAAGGCGAACCGGGGGAACUGAAACAUCUAAGUACCCCGAGGAAAAGAAAUCAACCGAGAUUCCCCCAGUAGCGGCGAGCGAACGGGGAGCAGCCCAGAGCCUGAAUCAGUUUGUGUGUUAGUGGAAGCGUCUGGAAAGUCGCAGGGUACAGGGUGAUACUCCCGUACACAAAAACACACAUGCUGUGAGCUCGAUGAGUAAGGCGGGACACGUGGUAUCCUGUCUGAAUAUGGGGGGACCAUCCUCCAAGGCUAAAUACUCCUGACUGACCGAUAGUGAACCAGUACCGUGAGGGAAAGGCGAAAAGAACCCCGGCGAGGGGAGUGAAACAGAACCUGAAACCGUGUACGUACAAGCAGUGGGAGCCUUCUUUAUGGGGGUGACUGCGUACCUUUUGUAUAAUGGGUCAGCGACUUAUAUUCUGUAGCAAGGUUAACCGUAUAGGGGAGCCGCAGGGAAACCGAGUCUUAACUGGGCGUUAAGUUGCAGGGUAUAGACCCGAAACCCGGUGAUCUAGCCAUGGGCAGGUUGAAGGUUGGGUAACACUAACUGGAGGACCGAACCGACUAAUGUUGAAAAAUUAGCGGAUGACCUGUGGCUGGGGGUGAAAGGCCAAUCAAACCGGGAGAUAGCUGGUUCUCCCCGAAAGCUAUUUAGGUAGCGCCUCGUGAACUCAUCUUCGGGGGUAGAGCACUGUUUCGGCUAGGGGGCCAUCCCGGCUUACCAACCCGAUGCAAACUGCGAA